GAUGAACGCUGGCGGCGUGCCUAAUACAUGCAAGUCGGGCGAACGGACGAGAAGCUUGCUUCUCUGAUGUUAGCGGCGGACGGGUGAGUAACACGUGGAUAACCUACCUAUAAGACUGGGAUAACUUCGGGAAACCGGAGCUAAUACCGGAUAAUAUUUUGAACCGCAUGGUUCAAAAGUGAAAGGCGGUCUUGCUGUCACUUAUAGAUGGAUCCGCGCUGCAUUAGCUAGUUGGUAAGGUAACGGCUUACCAAGGCAACGAUGCAUAGCCGACCUGAGAGGGUGAUCGGCCACACUGGAACUGAGACACGGUCCAGACUCCUACGGGAGGCAGCAGUAGGGAAUCUUCCGCAAUGGGCGAAAGCCUGACGGAGCAACGCCGCGUGAGUGAUGAAGGUCUUCGGAUCGUAAAACUCUGUUAUUAGGGAAGAACAUAUGUGUAGGUAACUGUGCACAUCUUGACGGUACCUAAUCAGAAAGCCACGGCUAACUACGUG
RNAcentral lists this ribosomal RNA (497 nucleotides) under uncultured bacterium. RNAcentral describes it as "partial 16S ribosomal RNA". It matches the Rfam family "Bacterial small subunit ribosomal RNA", at positions 28 to 507 of the family's 1533-position model. The record is from RNAcentral.